UCGAUCGGAACCGCCCUAGCUUUGAUGCCAUUUUGUACUACUACCAGUCGGGGGGCCGAUUGAGGCGGCCUGUGAAUGUGCCCCUAGAUAUAUUCUCUGAAGAAAUUCGGUUUUAUGAGCUGGGAGAAGAAGCGAUGGAGAUGUUUCGGGAAGAUGAAGGCUACAUCAAGGAGGAAGAGCGUCCUCUGCCUGAAAAUGAGUUUCAGAGACAAGUGUGGCUUCUCUUUGAAUACCCAGAGAGCUCAGGGCCUGCCAGGAUUAUAGCUAUUGUGUCUGUCAUGGUGAUUCUGAUCUCAAUUGUCAGCUUCUGUCUGGAAACAUUGCCCAUCUUCCGGGAUGAGAAUGAAGACAUGCAUGGUAGUGGGGUGACCUUCCACACCUAUUCCAACAGCACCAUCGGGUACCAGCAGUCCACUUCCUUCACAGACCCUUUCUUCAUUGUAGAGACACUCUGCAUCAUCUGGUUCUCCUUUGAAUUCUUGGUGAGGUUCUUUGCCUGUCCCAGCAAAGCCGGCUUCUUCACCAACAUCAUGAACAUCAUUGACAUUGUGGCCAUCAUCCCCUACUUCAUCACCCUGGGGACAGAGUUGGCUGAGAAGCCAGAGGACGCUCAGCAAGGCCAGCAGGCCAUGUCACUGGCCAUCCUCCGUGUCAUCCGGUGGUCAGAAAAAAUCUCCCUGAUAAAGUCACUUUGAACAGAGGUAUGAAGGAUAUAAAGAAGGAGCCAUAAGGAUAUCUGAAAGUUCAUGUCCUCAGCUACUAUGCAUGUGAGCUUUCAGAACAGUAAGAAGCAUCUACUAGAAACCAAAUAGGGUCUCAGAAAACAACACUGCCUAACUACCAAGGUUAUUUUGUGACGGGCCAGAAGAAUCAGUAUGUUCUGACAUCAGGAAGGCAUGCAGCAGAGCUUCUCUCACAGACCUGUGGACAACUUAGAGAACUCUCAAUGAAGGGUGGUCAGGGAGGCUGCAAUAGCACCCAGUGUUGACGCUGUCCUGAUCAGGUUUCCCACUGACGAUUUGGAUGAGGACAUGGAUAGCAUGCUGAUCAAACCCGAGAGGGCAUGAGCCAGAACAGAUGUCACAGUCCAUCUUAAGAGAUUCUUCAGGCAAAGACUUUGGAGCUUUAGUUGGCUUGUCUCCAUAUUAACCAAUCGUGUGAUAUUGCUCCAACAAGUCAUUACUUGGAG
RNAcentral lists this small RNA (1189 nucleotides) under Pongo abelii (Sumatran orangutan). RNAcentral describes it as "processed transcript". The record is from RNAcentral. Lineage: Eukaryota; Metazoa; Chordata; Mammalia; Primates; Hominidae.